This 253-nucleotide ribosomal RNA is filed under the name uncultured bacterium. RNAcentral describes it as "partial 16S ribosomal RNA". It matches the Rfam family "Bacterial small subunit ribosomal RNA", at positions 524 to 776 of the family's 1533-position model. The record is from RNAcentral.
UACAGAGGUCCCGAGCGUUAGGCGGAAUCACUGGGCUUAAAGCGUGUGUAGGUGGAUCGUUAAGUACCUUGUGAAAUCCCACGGCUUAACCGUGGAACUGCUUGGUAUACUGGCGGUCUUGAGCCAGCUAGGGGCUACCGGAACAAAUGGUGGAGCGGUGAAAUGCGUAGAUAUCAUUUGGAACGCCAACGGAGAAAUCAGGUAGCUGGGGGUGUGCUGACGCUGAGACACGAAAGCCAGGGGAGCGAACGGG